Non-coding RNA from Potamilus streckersoni, 72 nucleotides. The record is from the annotation of a GenBank genome assembly. NCBI's taxonomy places the organism in Eukaryota, Metazoa, Mollusca, Bivalvia, Unionida, Unionidae.
GCUCCUGUGGCCUAAUGGUACAGCAUCCACCUUUGAUGUGGGAGGUCGCGGGUUCGAACCCAGGCUGAUUCA